This 4797-nucleotide long non-coding RNA is filed under the name Heterocephalus glaber (naked mole-rat). Its description in RNAcentral is "lncRNA (ENSHGLG00100042135.1)". The record is from RNAcentral. Lineage: Eukaryota; Metazoa; Chordata; Mammalia; Rodentia; Bathyergidae.
CCAAGGAAAUUGAUUCAUCAUGAAGUACUACUUUCCACUUCAUUUCAUCAUGAAUUUAACUUACUUAACAGACCAAAAUAACUAUGGUACUGUAAUACAUCAAAUACUCCACGCACUGUGCUUUGAGCAAGAGCACUCAGGGUCACUGCCUGGUGACAGCAGCCAGCAGCCAAUGAAGACACGCUUAUAAUCCAAAUGCUAAAGAAUGUUUGGAUACAUGGAAUGUGAAUAUAUCUAUUUACAGGCAGGAAAAAAAUUAACAAUCUGUUUAAUUCUUCAUUGCAAAUAAAAUUCCAAAUAUAUUUAUACAAUGUUUACAAAGGAAAAACACGAGAACCAUGAGGGUUUUCAUUUGGGUCCAGGCACUGUGCCUGCUCUCGGGGAAAUGUCUUCACCAUUCUCUACACACACACACCUUAUUUCUGCAAUGGAGAGAGAAGCACAGGAAUGGCAAUUUUGCACAAUCAGAAUGUCAUGCAGACAGUUGACAACAGAGAAGUGAGAAAUUAGUUGUCCUCUUCAGUUUGCUGUCCAUUUGCCACCUGUUACAUUUUUUUCAGAGAUUAGAUUUAAAACAACAAAAAUUAGAGAAAAGAGCACAAUAUGUUUAAGGCAUAUUAAGCAAAUUUAGAACAGCCUCUCUUUCUGUUAAGUAGAUAUGGAGAUUUUACCCCAAAGCAAAACAAACAGAAGUAUACCCUCCUGAGGUUGGGUUGCUUAUGUCGUAGACACAUUUUUGAAAAUUAUUCUGCACCAAGUAUCCUUUUGAAAUUUUAAAUGAAAAGACUUGUUGAUCACAAAAUGCAUGAUUUUAUGUUUCUAAAUAAAACAACAGUAGCUGAGGUAGUUAGAUGUGAAACUUAUUUUACUUAAAAUAAUGAGAAUGAAGGCAAAUAUUAGUAGCAAAAAUCCUUGUCAUUUGGGAGCAGGUUUAUAUUGUGCAAUGGCUUAAUUCUGAGCAAAACACUUCUAUUUAUCCACUAGAUGGAUAAAUAGUUAAACCACAAUAUUAGUAGUAGGAGUAUUUGUUUCCAAUCUGCCUGAUAGGAUGUAUGUGCAAAUGAAGUUUGUAUUCCCAGCAUCACAUUUGCAGCUCAUACUUUCAUCAUUUCUGCAUUGGAGGCCAUCAUAUGAAAUGGCAUUGUCAUUACUAGAAACUCCAAUCUUAAAGAAAAUAGUAAAAAUGGAAGUAAAAAUCAAUAGGAAGGAUGGUUUCACUCUCACUUUAAUAAUAUUUGUCUUGGCCUAUUUGGUUUCAAAGGGUGAGGAAGCCUCUGGCUCACUGGUUUCUCUCUUCCUUCCGAAAAUGGGAAAACAUAUUUUCAUAUCCUUCACUAUAUCUUUCUUGGGUCAACAGAGCUGUCUGGCUACUGAAGAAAAGCAAAAACUAUUUAGUAGAAGUAGGUUCUCACCCAAGGAUAACUAGAGUCCUCCUUUGUCCUGCCCCUUUGAUCAAAGCAAAGAUUCAGGUGGGAACUUCAAUAAGCAAUGAACUAAAAGAUUCAUUCUUUCAUUAUCCCACAUCAUCUAGAUAUGAAAGGAAUUUUGUGACAGUAAUAUUCCAGUGUAUGGUUGAAUUAGGAAACAUUCCUUUGAUCAAAGAAUCUCUUUCUCUCCCUCUCUCUCUCCCUCCCCCCCUUGAGCUCUCUUUCUCUCCCUCUCUCUCUCUCUCUCUCUCUCUCACCCCCCCAUCUGUGUCUGUGUGUGUGUGUUUAAAUCAUUUUUUAGGAAGAGAAUGUUAGUCAAAAGUAGCCAAGAAACUUGACAACUACCUUUAUAGAUCAUCAUAUGUUUGAUGUUUACAAAACACCCUGUCCACAACAUAUAUCUCUUACUUAUAUCUUUACAUAUAUCUCUACUAAAAAUCAGUUUUUCUAACAGUAUCUUAUUGUCAGGGAUGGGCCUUAGAGAGUUCCACAUGGUCUAGGGAGCCUAAGAGACUAAAGUCACCUUCUCUCUAUAAUUAGGUGUAUAGCUUAUAUCUAAGUAACACAUGGUCACUACUUGUUUUUCAUUUGUUUGAGGAAGAAUUUAGGCUCUAACACGUUUGUUUUACUUCUGUUUUGUCUCUUUGUGAUAAAAUCUCUUCCUGACAUUUUCCUUGCUCUGCCCACCUCUCAUCCUAACAAACCCACCCAAAAUGCUGCCACUUUCUAUUCCAAGCCCCUGAAUCAAGUUCAAAGAUUUAACUUUAUUUUUUGUAUAAAAGCAAAUAAAAACUUUUUGUUUCAUAGCAAAAAGGAUAUUCUACUGCACUUUUUGGUUUGAAAAAUAUUGAUGGUACUGGUAGAAACUGGGGAAGGGAGCAGCUAGUAAUAUCAAAUUAGUUCUGAUUUACUAUAUUAAUAUUACUAGUUUAUAAAAAAUAAUACUUAUUUUAAUGCUGUGGCAGUACAGAUUUUUAAAUGGAUCAGAUAAUUGCCCAGGUUAAAAUAAAGCUUCAGAAAUCUUAACAUCAUGCAUUAGAAAUGUUCUAUUUGAAAUUAUAAGGCUUUGAUUUUAGAAUAACAUUUUAGAAACUGGAAGAGAUUAGACUGAUUGUGAACAUUAUGUCAGCUCCAAGCAUGACAUGAUUUAAAACCCACUCCUCAUGGUAAAUUUUCUGAACACUAUUUCAUAUUUUUAAGGGUGUACAGUUUUGCACAAGGGCAUAAUUAUUAAAUAAGGGUACAACGAUAAUAUUUAGGUACAACAACUUUACUUCAUGAAGUCACAUGUUAAAGCAUUAUCUGCAUUGUUAGUAUAGUUUCAUAGUUAUAUUCCUACCUCACAAUAGUGCCUCUGUGACCCAAAAAUUACAAAUAUUUAUAAUUCCAAAUCAUGGUGAUUAGGAUUCAUUCUGAUCAGGUUUAAUUAUUUAAAUAAGAGAAAACAUAUUUCUUUGGGGAAAUUGUACAGAAUAUUCUCUGAGGUGGUUUUCAGCCAUCUCUUUUGUCCUCCAGUAGAAUUCAUAUCUACACACAUAAAAGCACAUGGAUAUCCAUAUAUUGCUGAAGUACUUGUGUAACACUUCUCUGAAAUAUUUAAAAUACAUUUAUAAUGUGAGAAUGAAUCAACUCAGGAGUUAUAAGCAGAAACAAAGCUUUACAUUCUUCUACUGGGCUUUAAAGGGGGUGAUCAUUGUCUCAAAGGACUCAAAAUCUAAUUUCAGUAAAAUCUGUUAAACAUUUCCCCGCCCCUGCCCAGAAUGGAUUUCAGGGCACACUUGCCAUUAUUAGUUCUGAGCUGGAGUAUCAUGCAGAAGCUCUGGAAAAUGCAUGGGACCACACAUGCAAACUCCUUAGACAUCAGCAGAAAUCAGGUUUUCUGGAUGUAUUUAAAUAAACAUUUAGUAAAAUCCAGUUUGGUAAAGAGGAAAAUGGUCUAUCUAUAAGAAUUCCAAUGUCUCUAUCAAAGGAGUUAAUGUAGUAAAAAGUUGACAAUUUAAAAAAAAUUCUACACAGAACUUUGAAGGAAAGUUUUACCUAUAUCAAGUGAUGCAGAAUAAUUGUGUUCUUUGCUUGGUUAGUUAUUGCUGUCAUGUUUCUCAGACAACUCUAACACCCUUCUGCCUAGCCUACCUUCUGUGCUCCUCAAAGUUCUCCUUUGUGUCCCUGUUAGGAAGAAUAACAGUGCUUUCUAACCUCAUGGCAUAGUACCGACUCUUAUUAACCUUCACAAAACCCCUAUGAGGUAGGUAAAUAAAUAUUCUCUCCCUUUCCUAUACGGGAAAAAUGAGGCUGAAGUGAGUUUCUGAGUUUCUGAGGCUGAAGACCAGGGAUUAGGACUCAGGUGUGUGCAGAUUCAUAGUUCUUUUGUUCCACCACUGGAGCAUAGGCCCUCAUGUCCUUGCAUCAAGAAAGAAUAUAUUCUAUAGGAUAAGAUGAUAUUAUUUUGUAGAAUAAGUUUAAAUACAUUUAAAACAGUCAUUGUAUUCAACAUAAGGGUUUUUGAUUUUCUAUUAAAGCAUAAAUUCCAUAUCAAUGAUCACAUAAAGAUAAUUUUAAAAUAGCUAAUUUUUUGUGGUUGCCAAUUAUCUUUUUGCUGUAAAAUUAACUAAAUAUUCUGUCAAGAACAUAAAAGUGAAAAGAUUAGAAAAAGGAUAUAGUGAAGUAAAACUCAUGAGGAAAAAGAAAAGCAAAAACAAUUUAGUUUGGUACCCAUAUCUGCUGGUUCUGGAGGAUUUCACAGGUAACUGAGUAUCAAGCACAGUCUGCCCUCCAAAGUGGGGUUGCAGAGCAGUUAGCACAGGGUGAUAACACCAACUGGCUGAGGCCUUUGCUUCCCAGGUAAAGGACUGACUCAUUUGAGGAAAACUUCUGCAGCUGAGGGAAGGAGGGACCCAACAAUGAACUUCAUUUCCUACCCCUUCUGACUUAGCAUUGGAUAUACAAUUUGACACAAUCAAAAUGCUACCCAAGAAGCUUCAAAAUGUUCAGAUUAUCUUUAGAAACCCUCUCAAGAUCUUUGCAUAGAUGAGUACCUUUCAGUGCUCUGUGUACCUGUAUAUAGUUAAUGCCUCACAGCAAGUUCUACUGCAUAAAUUCUCUGGGCAAAAAAUUGAUCUGAAUACUUUGUCUGUUGUUCUGCCAAGCUUCAGAUCAGUAAAUGAAGUAAGCACAUGAUUUGAGGAAAUAAACAUGCUCACCAACCCAGGAAAAAAUCAGAAGAAACAAGAUCAACUUUCUAAUGUUUCUAAUGUUAUAAGUUAGACAUGUCAACAAAUAAUGACUGGUGCAAGAGCUGGGAUGAGCAUCUCAGAUUUUCCUUCUGGGCACUGACUUUCCCUUUGAUGUCAACUUUUUCUUUUUCUUUUUC